Molecule: long non-coding RNA, 1193 nt
Filed under: Marmota monax (woodchuck)
Lineage: Eukaryota; Metazoa; Chordata; Mammalia; Rodentia; Sciuridae
Source: RNAcentral
GUCUCACUAGGUUGGUUGCUUACAGCCUGGCUAAAUUGCUGAGGCUGACUUUGAACCUGUGAUCCUCUUGCCUCAGUGUCCUGGGAUUAUAGGCGUGUGCUACCACGUCCAGCACCAAAUGGUUUAGGAUCUUGACAGGGAGUAUGAGGUCUGCUGAAGCUUUUGACAGACACCUUGAUCAUGUUAAGAAAAUUUCCAUCCAAGAGCAAAGUUUUACUGAGUGGUGUUGAGCUGCUUCGACUACAGUUGAGAUUAUGUUGUUUUCCUUCUUUAAUCUGAGGAUAACAACAUCAAUCAUUUUACUAAUCUUUUGAACUAUUAUUGACCUAAAGAGGAGGCCCUGUGAGGCUGUGAGAGCAGAGACAGAAGGCAGUCAGGAUUAAGGCAAGUGCUCUACCACUGAGCCACACCCCAGCCCCUGAUUUAGCUUUUUAAUCCAUGCUCUGCACGAGGGGAGCUUGUUUCCUCUGGAGGAUCUUGCUCAGUUUUGCUUCAGUGUCCUGCUAGCCUUAAAACAGGGUGGGCCGCUUUUGCCUUUUUGUAUGUACUGGGAGUGUUUGCUGAGGGCAAAGCUGAGCCAUUCCUGCAUCAUGACUAGGACUGACUGUAAGCCACCGGGAGCUGGCACCUUGCUGACCACUUCUUGUUUCCUUGAGCCAAUUUUGACCAGAAAAUUUAAAAGAACAUUCUCUUAUUGGAUUAUUUAUUUUUCCAAUAUAAACCAUUUCUCUGUUUCUCCACAUUUUUUAUUGGUGCAUUGUAGUUGCACACAAUGUUGAGAUUUGUUGUUACCUAUUAACCGUAUGUGUACACAAUAGAACAAUAUAAUUUGGCCAAUUUGAUUCUCCAGCACUUUCCCUUUAUCUCUCUCUCCCCCUCUCUCUUUUAUUUUUUGGUCCUGGGGAUUGAACCUGGGAACUCUACCCCUGAACCAUAUCUCCAGCCCUUUUUAUUUUUUGAGACAGUGUCUUGCUAAGUUGCUGAGGCUGGCUUUUAACUUGUGAUCCUCCUGCCUCAUCCUCCGGAGUUACUGGGAUUACAGGCCUGUGCCACUACGCCUGUCGGUAUCUUUGAAUAAUUUUGCCUCAAGGUCUAUGUUCUCUUGCUAUGCAUGCUUUUUUUGUAGUGCUGGGGACUGACCCCAGGGCCUUGUGCGUGUGAGGCAAGCACUCUACCAUCUGAGCUAUAUCCCC